Molecule: ribosomal RNA, 228 nt
Filed under: uncultured bacterium
Lineage: Bacteria
Description: partial 16S ribosomal RNA
Rfam family: Bacterial small subunit ribosomal RNA
Source: RNAcentral
AAUCAACGCUGGCGGCGUGCCUAACACAUGCAAGUCGAACGCGAAAGCGUCUUCGGACGUGAGUAGAGUGGCGUCCGGGUGAGUAACACGUAGGUAAUCUACCUUCGGGUGGGGAAUAACGCCUCGAAAGAGGCGCUAAUACCGCAUAACGCAGCGGCAGCUAAUGCUGAUUAGUUGUUAAAGCGGGGGACCGAGAGAUCGGCCUCGCGCCUGAAGAGGAGCCUGCGG